UGGGGAAUAUUGCACAAUGGGCGCAAGCCUGAUGCAGCCAUGCCGCGUGUAUGAAGAAGGCCUUCGGGUUGUAAAGUACUUUCAGUCGGGAGGAAGGUGGUAAGGUUAAUAACCUUAUCAAUUGACGUUACCGACAGAAGAAGCACCGGCUAACUCCGUGCCAGCAGCCGCGGUAAUACGGAGGGUGCAAGCGUUAAUCGGAAUUACUGGGCGUAAAGCGCACGCAGGCGGUUGAUUGAGUCAGAUGUGAAAUCCCCGGGCUUAACCCGGGAAUUGCAUCUGAUACUGGACAGCUAGAGUCUUGUAGAGGGGGGUAGAAUUCCAUGUGUAGCGGUGAAAUGCGUAGAGAUGUGGAGGAAUACCGGUGGCGAAGGCGGCCCCCUGGACAAAGACUGACGCUCAGGUGCGAAAGCGUGGGGAGCAAACAGG
This 429-nucleotide ribosomal RNA is filed under the name Chloroflexota bacterium. Its description in RNAcentral is "Chloroflexi bacterium partial 16S ribosomal RNA". It matches the Rfam family "Bacterial small subunit ribosomal RNA", at positions 355 to 776 of the family's 1533-position model. Lineage: Bacteria; Bacillati; Chloroflexota. The record is from RNAcentral.